AUUGAACGCUGGCGGCAUGCCUUACACAUGCAAGUCGAACGGCAGCACGGGUGCUUGCACCUGGUGGCGAGUGGCGAACGGGUGAGUAAUACAUCGGAACAUGUCCUGUAGUGGGGGAUAGCCCGGCGAAAGCCGGAUUAAUACCGCAUACGAUCUACGGAUGAAAGCGGGGGACCUUCGGGCCUCGCGCUAUAGGGUUGGCAGAUAGCGGAGUAGCUAGUUGGGGGGGUAAAGGCCUACCAAGGCGACGAUCAGGAGCUGGUCUGAGAGGAGGACCAGCGGCACGAGAGGUGAGACACGGACAAGGCGCCUACGGGAGGCAGCAGAGGGGAAUGGUGGACAAUGGGGGAGAGCCUUGUCCAGCCAUGCCGCGUGUGUGAAGAAGGCCUUCGGGUUGUAAAGAAGUGUUGUCUGGAAAGAAACGCUGUGAGCUAAUACAGUCGGGGGGUGACGGUACCGGGAGAAUAAGCACCGGCUAACUACGUG
This 486-nucleotide ribosomal RNA is filed under the name uncultured bacterium. Its description in RNAcentral is "partial 16S ribosomal RNA". It matches the Rfam family "Bacterial small subunit ribosomal RNA", at positions 29 to 507 of the family's 1533-position model. The record is from RNAcentral.